GAAUAUUGGACAAUGGGCGAAAGCCUGAUCCAGCCACGCCGCGUGUGUGAAGAAGGUCUUCGGAUUGUAAAGCACUUUAAGUUGGGAGGAAGGGCAGGAAGCGAAUACCUUGCUGUUUUGACGUUACCGUUACAAUAAGCACCGGCUAACUUUGUGCCAGCAGCCACGGUAAGAAAGAGGGUGCACGCGAUAAUCGGAAUUACUGGGCGUAAAGCACGCGUAGGUGGUUCGUUAAGUUGGAUGUGAAAUCCCCGGGCUCAACCUAGGAACUGCAUCCAAAACUGGCGAGCUAGAGUAGGGCAGAGGGUGGUGGAAUUUCCUGUGUAGCGGUGAAAUGCGUAGAUAUAGGAAGGAACACCAGUGGCGAGGGCGACCACCUGGGCUCAUACUGACACUGAGGUGCGAAAGCGUGGGGAGCAAACA
This 423-nucleotide ribosomal RNA is filed under the name uncultured bacterium. Its description in RNAcentral is "partial 16S ribosomal RNA". It matches the Rfam family "Bacterial small subunit ribosomal RNA", at positions 359 to 774 of the family's 1533-position model. The record is from RNAcentral.